UACGGGGGGGGCAAGCGUUGUUCGGAAUUACUGGGCGUAAAGGGCUCGUAGGCGGCCAACUAAGUCGGACGUGAAAUCCCUCAGCUUAACUGGGGAACUGCGUCCGAUACUGGAUGGCUUGGAUUUGGGAGAGGGAUGCGGAAUUCCAGGUGUAGCGGUGAAAUGCGUAGAUAUCUGGAGGAACACCGGUGGCGAAGGCGGCAUCCUGGACCAAUAUUGACGCUGAGGCGCGAAAGCUAGGGGAGCAAACGGG
Molecule: ribosomal RNA, 253 nt
Filed under: uncultured bacterium
Lineage: Bacteria
Description: partial 16S ribosomal RNA
Rfam family: Bacterial small subunit ribosomal RNA
Source: RNAcentral